CAAAAGAGUGGGAAGAGCUUUGAGUAGAGGUGACAAACCUACCGAGCCCAGUUAUAGCUGGUUGCCUGUGAAAUGAAUAGGAGUUCAGCCCUUUAAGUCUUUCCCCCCUCACCCAUGCUUACGCUAAAAUUGAUUAAGGAAACUAAAGGAGUUAAUCAAAAGGGGUACAGCCCUUUUGAUAGAAGAAACAACUUUGACAGGUGACCCAAGAUCAUAUUACCCAAGGAUUUCAAAUUAAGUGGGCCUAAAAGCAGCCAUCUUACUAGAAAGCGUUAAAGCUCAAAUUAACUAAUAUCCUCAUAUACUGAUAUCACAUCUCCCUCCCUGCCCCUUACCAGGCUGUCUUAUGCCCCCAUAAGAACAAUUAUGCUAAAAUGAGUAAUAAGAAGAAUUUAAUUCUUCUCCUAGCACAUGUGUAAGUCGGAACGGACCUCCCACCGACUAUUAACCGACCCCAAACCCAGAGGGAAAUAGGUUAAAAAAACAAGAAAUACACCUAUUUCACAUCGUUAACCCCACACAGGCGUGCCUAAAGGAAAGACUAAAAGAGAAGGAAGGAACUCGGCAAACACAAGCCUCGCCUGUUUACCAAAAACAUCGCCUCUUGCCCCUAAAAUAUAAGAGGUCCCGCCUGCCCUGUGACUAUAAGUUUAACGGCCGCGGUAUUUUAACCGUGCGAAGGUAGCGUAAUCACUUGUCUUUUAAAUGAAGACCUGUAUGAAUGGCAUCACGAGGGCUUAGCUGUCUCCCAUCUCCAGUCAAUGAAAUUGACCUCCCCGUGCAGAGGCGGGGAUGACUACAUAAGACGAGAAGACCCUAUGGAGCUUUAGACCUAAAGCAAGUCACGUUUAAUAUGCUACGACAACAGCGAAAACUUAGUGAUAUUUACUGAAGUGUCUUUGGUUGGGGCGACCGCGGGGUAAAACACAACCCCCAUGUGGACCGGGGAUAUUAUCCCUAAUACUCAGAGCCUCUACUCCAAGUAACAGAAAUUCUGACUUUUCUGAUCCGGUAUAACCGAUCAACGAACCGAGUUACCCUAGGGAUAACAGCGCAAUCCCCUCUCAGAGCCCAUAUCGACGAGGGGGUUU
Molecule: ribosomal RNA, 1091 nt
Filed under: Microgadus tomcod (Atlantic tomcod)
Lineage: Eukaryota; Metazoa; Chordata; Actinopteri; Gadiformes; Gadidae
Description: partial 16S ribosomal RNA
Rfam family: Bacterial large subunit ribosomal RNA
Source: RNAcentral